This 1325-nucleotide ribosomal RNA is filed under the name metagenome. Its description in RNAcentral is "bacterial LSU rRNA". It matches the Rfam family "Bacterial large subunit ribosomal RNA", at positions 1414 to 2754 of the family's 2925-position model. The record is from RNAcentral.
UUCGAUGGAAAGCUGGUUAAUAUUCCAGCACUUGUUUCUGCUGCGAUGGGGUGACGGAGAAGGUUAGGCAAUCCACCUGUUGGAUGGUGGUUUAAGCGUUUAGGAGUGCCCGGUAGGCAAAUCCGCUGGGAUUAUCUGAGACGUGAUGACGAGGCUCUUUGAGCUGAAGUUGCUGAUACCCCGCUUCCAAGAAAAACCUCUAAGCUUCAGGCAGAUACGAGCCGUACCCCAAACCGACACAGGUGGGCGAGGAGAGUAUCCUCAGGCGUUUGAGACAACUCGGGAGAAGGAACUCGGCAAAUUAGAACCGUAACUUCGGGAUAAGGUUCGCCCACGCAAGUGGGCCGCAGUGAAGAGGGGGUUGCGACUGUUUAUCAAAAACACAGCACUCUGCAAACACGAAAGUGGACGUAUAGGGUGUGACUCCUGCCCGGUGCUGGAAGGUUAAUUGAUGGGGUCAGCCGCAAGGCGAAGCUCUUGAUCGAAGCCCCAGUAAACGGCGGCCGUAACUAUAACGGUCCUAAGGUAGCGAAAUUCCUUGUCGGGUAAGUUCCGACCUGCACGAAUGGAGUAACGAUAGCCCCACUGUCUCCUUCCGAGGCUCAGUGAAAUUGAAAUCGCUGUGACGAUGCAGUGUUCCCGCGGCAAGACGGAAAGACCCCGUGAACCUUUACUAUAUCUUUACAUUGGAUUUUGAGUUUGUUUGUGUAGGAUAGGUGGGAGGCAUUGAAACCUGGACGCUAGUUCAGGUGGAGCCAACCUUGAAAUACCACCCUGAUAAACUCGGAAUUCUAACCUCGACCAGUCAUCCUGGUCAGGGACAAUGUAUGGUGGGUAGUUUGACUGGGGCGGUCUCCUCCCAAAGAGUAACGGAGGAGUGCGAAGGUCAGCUCAGCGCGGUCGGAAAUCGCGCUCUUGAGUGCAUAGGCACAAGCUGGCUUGACUGCGAGACAGACGAGUCGAGCAGGUACGAAAGUAGGUCUAAGUGAUCCGGUGGUUCUGUAUGGAAGGGCCAUCGCUCAACGGAUAAAAGGUACUCCGGGGAUAACAGGCUGAUACUGCCCAAGAGUCCAUAUCGACGGCAGUGUUUGGCACCUCGAUGUCGGCUCAUCACAUCCUGGGGCUGUAGCAGGUCCCAAGGGUCCGGCUGUUCGCCGGUUAAAGUGGUACGCGAGCUGGGUUCAGAACGUCGUGAGACAGUUCGGUCCCUAUCUGCCGUGGGCGUUCGAGAUUUGAGAGGAGUUAACCUUAGUACGAGAGGACCGGGUUGAACGUAUCUCUGGUGUUCCAGUUGUCACGCCAGUGGCAUCGCUGGGUAGCGAAAA